CAGCCGCCGCGGUAAAACGAAGGUCCCGAGCGUUGUUCGGAAUCACUGGGCGUAAAGGGAGCGUAGGCGGCGUGGUAAGUCAGAUGUGAAAUCCCGGGGCUCAACCCCGGAACUGCAUCCGAUACUGCCAUGCUAGAGGAUUGGAGAGGUAGCUGGAAUUCUUGGUGUAGCAGUGAAAUGCGUGGAGAUCAAGAGGAACACUCGUGGCGAAAGCGAGCUACUGGACAAUAACUGACGCUGAGGCUCGAAGGCCAGGGUAGCGAAAGGGAUUAGAGACCCCCGUAGUCCCUGUCUCUUAUAA
RNAcentral lists this ribosomal RNA (301 nucleotides) under uncultured bacterium. RNAcentral describes it as "partial 16S ribosomal RNA". It matches the Rfam family "Bacterial small subunit ribosomal RNA", at positions 509 to 809 of the family's 1533-position model. The record is from RNAcentral.